GACGAACGCUGGCGGCGUGCUUAACACAUGCAAGCCGAGCGGUAAGGCCCUUUCGGGGGUACACGAGCGGCGAACGGGUGAGUAACACGUGGGUGACCUGCCCUCAGCUCUGGGAUAAGCCUGGGAAACCGGGUCUAAUACUGGAUAUGACUCCAUGACGCAUGUUGUGGGGUGGAAAGCCUUGUGCGGCUGAGGAUGGGCCCGCGGCCUAUCAGCUUGUUGGUGGGGUGANGGCCUACCAAGGCGACGACGGGUAGCCGGCCUGAGAGGGCGACCGGCCACACUGGGACUGAGACACGGCCCAGACUCCUACGGGAGGCAGCAGUGGGGAAUCUUGCGCAAUGGGCGAAAGCCUGACGCAGCGACGCCGCGUGAGGGAUGACGGCCUCGGUGU
Molecule: ribosomal RNA, 394 nt
Filed under: uncultured bacterium
Lineage: Bacteria
Description: bacterial SSU rRNA
Rfam family: Bacterial small subunit ribosomal RNA
Source: RNAcentral